AAAAAAAAAAAGGAGAAAGGCUAUGUAAAGGGCCAUUUAUAUAAGAAAUAGCUGCAUAUUAUUUUUCUAUAAUUCUGAUAUAUAGUUAAAAAGGAAAGGAGAGAAGGAGCGGAGAAAUGUCUAAAUAUGGAGAAUUCCUGGACGCUGUUAAACGUGACGAUGUUAAUUCGGUGAGCAAGUUCCUCUCAAUCUAUCCAGAUUUCUUUGACGUUUCUUCCACGACAUGGCAAGAGAACCCUCUCCAGGUUGCCUGCAACCAUGGCAGCCACCGAGUCGCUAAGGUAAUUGGCAAAUGGUACCCUCAAUUUGCAAGAUUCAAAAAUCGGGAAGGUUGUACUGCCUUGCACUUUGCUUCUUCUAAGGGGGAUCUUCCAAUUGUAAAUGUCUUGCUAGAGAUUGAUUCUGAAGUCUGCCUCAAGAAAAACAAGUCAUCCAUGAAUCCUCUCCACAUAGCUAUCAGGAAUGGGCAUGACGAGGUGAUAGGUGCAUUGAUCGCUGCUUGUCCACAAUCUAUUGGAACGGUGACCUCCCAGAGAGAGACAGUGCUUCUUCUGGCUGCAAAACAUUUCCGGCUCAAUGCUUUUGUAUUCUUGCUGAAGGAGAUUCAGAACCGGGAACAAGACCAUCUACUGCACAGGAAAGACCGAGAGGGAAACAACGUUUUGCAUAUUGCAGUUUCCAAUAAAUUUGUUGAGGUAACUCUCUGUCUCUCUGGCUCUCUCACGCAAUAGUUUAAAUUGAUAGAGGUUUCGCUUGUGUUGCCUCUGCCUUGAGUACUUUUUGCUGGCAAAUUCUACAGAUUGUGAAGUUGUUGCUUCCUCUGAACUCUACAAGUAGAGCUUUGGUGCGAGUGAACUCCUUGAACAAGAAGGGACUGACAGCCCUGGAUCUGUGCUACCAAAGUUGCGGGAAUAUUACUACACAGGACAUUGGCCGCAUCCUGCGUGAAGCCGGUGCCCUUGAAGGACGGUCAUUGCCUGUGGGAGCACACGUAAUAAAGGAAACCAUAGAAACCAAGAAUGUCAUAUUGGUGGUCCUGGGAGUUGUUACUGGUGCCGCCUUCACCACAGUUUGUAACCUCCCCAGUCCUUUUCUCAAAGAUCACCAUGCAGAAGGUAGAGUAUUUCAUAGUGGAGAUAUGGUAGCCGGUCAGCUGCCGCCCAUAUUCUACCUUAUGGUAUUCAAUACGGCCAUUCUUCUCGUUUGUAUGUGUGGAAUUGCAGUACUCUUGUGGUCGCUCCCUUUUAGACCAGUUGUGCUCUUUGUGACCAUCACUAUCGGGAUUGUUUAUGCUCUGUUGGUGAGUAAUAUUGUGCCAAAAUUCUUGUUCAGAGCAGGCACUCACAGCAUUUUGAGUAGUCAUUUGGUGGGGUUAUUGGCUAUUGUCUUCAUUUGUUGUGGAGCUAUUACAUACUUUACUUUUUUCUAUCUCUGCCUAAUUAUUAAGUGGGUGAUCAAAAAAACCGUGCAGUCCUACAGGUUGGGUGCUCGAAUCUUCUCUCGCAACAAAGGGCUGCCGUACUAAGAGAGCAUGUACUACACACCAAUCAGCCUAGAAUGGAUCUCCUUCUCAUGACAAAUGAGUCGUACAAAACAUAACCCAGACUAACACAUGCAGAUACCCUUCAGGUCGCCAAUCCAUGGAAUUCUCUCUCUAAUAUCUCCCUCAUAUAGUAUCACUGUGAUUCUGUUAAGACAAUUAAGUUCCUGGCAUACAUAUCUUGCCAUUGCCUGGACAGCCCGUAAUGCAGUAGCAUCUGGCUCUGAUGUCCCAUCAUCAGAAAAGACAUUUCUCCAUACCACCUUCUCUAGCUCAUCAGAUUUAGCCUCUGGAAGCAUGGCAGCAUCAUAAGCAACAAUAUUUCCAUAGAAUAUCUUCUCCAAUUCUUUCAUCCAUUUAGUCAACAAUAAGUUAACCUGCCAAUUCAGAACACGUAUAGGACAAACACUUGGACAAUUCUAUCAACUACAUGUAUUUAUAUCGUUCUCCACAGGCCAGCAAAGCUCAACCUUUUGCAGAUCAUCCCAUAAUGUAGUUUCUACAAUACGAUCCUUAAAACUGAAAGCCUAGCUAAGAAAUGGGAAAUAUUAAUUGUUAACUGGAAGGGCAUUCUGAAUAUGGCACACAGAUAGUUCACAAAAUGAAAUGAUAAUGCUAUGGUCUCAACUGUCAGUUAGGAGUUCAAUGAAAAAUAGAUUAAAAAAAAGAUUGUAUCAUCCCGAAUAAUUUCAUAUGGUUUUCAAAGCAUACAAAAAGAUGGAAGAAUGGCUGUGAGCACUUGUAAUGACCUGAUGGAUAUGAAACAAAUCAGAAGCUGGACAGUCAGCUCAGUUGUAAUUUAUGCAUGCUACAGGUCCCAUAAGAUAGACAAGGAAAGUUCAUUUUGAUAAGCAAAAAUAAAGAACUAAAAGAUACCAUGAAAUGCAAUAAAAUCCUCAAAGAAAACAUGGUAAAGAUAAAAGUUGUAAGCACAUUACCCCUGCUUUAGAUACUCUUAGCUCCACAUCAUGAUUAUAAAUAUCAUACAGGUACUGCCCAAAUUCAACGCCCUCCUUUCCCUCCUGUUUCAGACGGCGUAAGCAAAGCCACAUAUGGAGUACAAGCAAUGAGAAUGUCAUUUUAAAUGUCUUCUCCAAAUUGAAUACUUCAUAAAUGGUAGGCUUAUCUACUUGUGAAAUGAUGCGCCGGUACACCACAUUUGCCCCCCUAAUCGAUUUGCUUUGUUUGCUAUAAAACAUCAAGAGCUUAAGAAUAAAAUGCCGAAUGCCCUCAUAUUUUGGCUCUUCAAUUCUCAGUGGGGAAUCGGAGGCCAAAGCCAAAGAACAGGGCUUAGACCAAAACAUUUUAUCCAAAUUUACCGGUGAUUUACUAGGAAAACCCUUGUGCAUAGAAUCAUUAGGAGAAGGCGGGACAGCAGCUGCUGCAGAAGCCUUGGCAUAGGUUAGGCGUGGAAUAAAAAGAAGAUCUUUUCUGAGUUCCCCCAUGUUGCUUAGAGACCCAAGCUUCGACAUUUGAGAAGCAGCUUUGCUCCAUCUGGAAAACAUUUGCUAGAAAAAUGAAUGUUCAAGCACUGAACGAAAGCAGUUGCUCCUCUUUGGCAAUGGUUUAUAGUGCGUCUUCUUCUGCCUUCCCUUUUUGCUGCUCCCAGUUGCUACUGGUUAAACCUUUGAAGCAUAAGAGGGAACCGUGAGGGUCGAUCCUAUUGGCUAAACCCUACGAGGAUUUGAUGCAAGCGUCAACUGGGCCAUUUUCAGCAUCCCUUAUUCUCA
RNAcentral lists this unclassified non-coding RNA (3270 nucleotides) under Hevea brasiliensis (rubber tree). Lineage: Eukaryota; Viridiplantae; Streptophyta; Magnoliopsida; Malpighiales; Euphorbiaceae. The record is from RNAcentral.